UCCGGCUUAUCACCGGCAGUUUCUUUAGAGUGCUCAACUAAAUGGUAGCAACUAAAGACGAGGGUUGCGCUCGUUGCGGGGCUUAACCCAACAUCUCACGACACGAGCUGACGACAGCCAUGCAGCACCUCGACUUCAGUCCCUUGCGGGAGGCCCCGUGUUUCCACAGGCUUGCCAAAGCCGUUCGAGCCCAGGUAAGGUUCUUCGCGUUGCGUCGAAUUAAACCACAUGCUCCACCGCUUGUGCGGGCCCCCGUCAAUUCCUUUAUGUUUUAACCUUGCGGCCGUACUCCCCAGGCGGUGGGCUUACCGCGUUAGCUCCGGCACCGAGGGGCAAGCCCCCCAACGCCCAGCCCACAUCGUUUAGGGCGUGGACUAC
RNAcentral lists this unclassified non-coding RNA (378 nucleotides) under uncultured bacterium. RNAcentral describes it as "contains 16S-23S intergenic spacer region". The record is from RNAcentral.